Non-coding RNA from Poecilia reticulata (guppy), 947 nucleotides. The record is from RefSeq and is a predicted model, not a curated record. NCBI's taxonomy places the organism in Eukaryota, Metazoa, Chordata, Actinopteri, Cyprinodontiformes, Poeciliidae.
ACCACCUGUGAAAAGAUUUGUCAUUUGAUAAAAUUAAAUGGAGCUUGUUAAAAUAAUUCUUUAUUUGGUUUGAAGGGAUAAUGUGGCCAUUUGUGAUGCAAUAGAUAGGCUAGCUACUGAAAUUACCUUAAGUAUUUGAUUGUGUAUGAAGUGUAUUGCGUGUUAAAUGCUAAUGGAAGCUCAAUGUGUGUCUCAUCUUUUCUGUAUCACCACCACACGUUGAGAGGACAAACAACAUUACCCUCAGCCCGUCCAAGGUUGCCAGACUGCUACCAGGUUCCUCCUCUCUCAUUCACAUACACACUCAAAAGAUAAUUGAUCAAAGUGAAAGGCCAAGAAUAUUCCCAUCUCUGGAGAAUAGAUUCAAAACUGUCAGCUCAUCAGAGUGCUGCAAUCACAAUGUCGAUCAAAUUGAAAAGCGUUACAUUUUAUCUCAUCCCAGCAGAAUGGUUGUCACAGAAGUCUUUUGCCGGUGAGCUGAAAUCCUUCAGAGCAGAGGCGAAAACUCCUGGAAAGGAAAACGGACGGCGUGCGGCUUCCAACGACCCUGAUUGAUGAGCUUUCGUUAUGGGGAAUCUGAUUUUGUUGCUGCCUUUAAGCAAAUCGAAGCGGUCGUGCUGAACAGGAGCUGGGCGAAUCCUGAACCAGAGCUUACCUCCUAUUUGGGACAGAUUAUUAUUCUAGAUUGUCAGCGGAUUCUAGAGAACAUUCUGGCGCUCAAGUGGCUUUAUUAUAAAUUAGUCAUGAUUGAAAAUAAACAUUUCCGCCGCCUGUUGGAUGGCACAGACCUGCUGCUAGCAGAAGAAAAAAGAUGAAGUGCUUGCACGCUGAUUUUCUAACUAGGUUAUCGGUCACUCUUCCUGGCUUUCUUGCUCUCCUUUCUUCUAUUUCCCCUUCUUCCUCUGAGCCGUAAGCAUGUUAGUAUUUGUUGGAUGCCAUUUUCAUUA